GCCUACGGGGGGCAGCAGUAGGGAAUCUUCCACAAUGGGCGAAAGCCUGAUGGAGCAACGCCGCGUGGGUGAAGAAGGUCUUCGGAUCGUAAAACCCUGUUGUUAGAGAAGAAAGUGUGUGAGAGUAACUGUUCACGUUUCGACGGUAUCUAACCAGAAAGCCACGGCUAACUACGUGCCAGCAGCCGCGGUAAUACGUAGGUGGCAAGCGUUAUCCGGAUUUAUUGGGCGUAAAGGGAACGCAGGCGGUCUUUUAAGUCUGAUGUGAAAGCCUUCGGCUUAACCGGAGUAGUGCAUUGGAAACC
Molecule: ribosomal RNA, 305 nt
Filed under: uncultured bacterium
Lineage: Bacteria
Description: bacterial SSU rRNA
Rfam family: Bacterial small subunit ribosomal RNA
Source: RNAcentral